UACAGAGGUCCCGAGCGUUGUUCGGAUUCACUGGGCGUAAAGGGUGCGUAGGUGGUUGGGUAAGUCUGAUGUGAAAUCUCCGGGCUCAACCCGGAAAUGGCAUUGGAUACUAUUCGGCUAGAGGGUUGGAGGGGGGACUGGAAUUCUCGGUGUAGCAGUGAAAUGCGUAGAUAUCGAGAGGAACACCAGUGGCGAAGGCGAGUCCCUGGACAACACCUGACACUGAGGCACGAAAGCUAGGGGAGCAAACAGG
This 253-nucleotide ribosomal RNA is filed under the name uncultured bacterium. RNAcentral describes it as "partial 16S ribosomal RNA". It matches the Rfam family "Bacterial small subunit ribosomal RNA", at positions 524 to 776 of the family's 1533-position model. The record is from RNAcentral.